Vicia faba (fava bean) is the source of this 240-nucleotide non-coding RNA. The record is from the annotation of a GenBank genome assembly. Lineage: Eukaryota; Viridiplantae; Streptophyta; Magnoliopsida; Fabales; Fabaceae.
AUGAUCUUACAUGUUGAGAAGCUUCUCAGACAAGCCAAGCAACUGAUAUAUAACAGAUUUCAUCUUCAGAUCCAGGGAAAAAAAAAAGAGAGGACACGAUUUCAUUUCUGCAGAAAAACUUCUCAGAGAAGUUUCAGAGUUCUCUCUGAAAUUCUCUAUGGCUGCAAUACGAUUUUUCACAAAAAACUGAAAAAAGUCUUCAGUUCUCUCAUCUCUCAAAACUUUAUGCUCCCUUUGUAA